GUACACACCGCCCGUCGCUACUACCGAUUGGAUGGGUUAGUGAGGGGUGCGGCGGCUGGGGGCGCAAGCCAGCAGGCCAAAGCACAACAAACUUGCUCAUCUAGAGGAAGUAAAAGUCGUAACAAGGUAUUCGUAGGUGAACCUGCAGAAGGAUCA
Molecule: ribosomal RNA, 156 nt
Filed under: uncultured eukaryote
Lineage: Eukaryota
Description: partial small subunit ribosomal RNA
Rfam family: Eukaryotic small subunit ribosomal RNA
Source: RNAcentral